GAUGAACGCUAGCUACAGGCUUAACACAUGCAAGUCGAGGGGAAACGACAUCGAAAGCUUGCUUUUGAUGGGCGUCGACCGGCGCACGGGUGAGUAACGCGUAUCCAACCUGCCCAUCACUUGGGGAUAACCUUGCGAAAGUAAGACUAAUACCCAAUGAUAUCUCUAGAAGACAUCUGAAAGAGAUUAAAGAUUUAUCGGUGAUGGAUGGGGAUGCGUCUGACUAGCUUGUUGGCGGGGUAACGGCCCACCAAGGCAACGAUCAGUAGGGGUUCUGAGAGGAAGGUCCCCCACAUUGGAACUGAGACACGGUCCAAACUCCUACGGGAGGCAGCAGUGAGGAAUAUUGAUCAAUGGGCGAGAGCCUGAACCAGCCAAGUAGCGUGCAGGAAGACGGCCCUAUGGGUUGUAAACUGCUUUUAUAAGGGAAUAAAGUGAGAGUCGUGACUCUUUUUGUAUGUACCUUAUGAAUAAGGACCGGCUAAUUCCGUG
This 492-nucleotide ribosomal RNA is filed under the name uncultured bacterium. RNAcentral's name for it is "partial 16S ribosomal RNA". It matches the Rfam family "Bacterial small subunit ribosomal RNA", at positions 28 to 507 of the family's 1533-position model. The record is from RNAcentral.